RNAcentral lists this ribosomal RNA (253 nucleotides) under uncultured bacterium. Its description in RNAcentral is "partial 16S ribosomal RNA". It matches the Rfam family "Bacterial small subunit ribosomal RNA", at positions 524 to 776 of the family's 1533-position model. The record is from RNAcentral.
GACGAACCGAGCGACCGUUGUUCGGAAUCACUGGGCUUAAAGGGCGCGUAGGCGGGCAUUCAAGUCUGUGGUGAAAUCCGGCAGCUUAACUGUCGAAUUGCCAUGGAUACUGGGUGUCUCGAGGGAGGCAGGGGUGCGCGGAACUAAUGGUGGAGCGGUGAAAUGCGUUGAUAUCAUUAGGAACUCCGGUGGCGAAGGCGGCGCACUGGUCCUUUUCUGACGCUGAGGCGCGAAAGCCAGGGGAGCAAACGGG